Formica exsecta is the source of this 1183-nucleotide long non-coding RNA. RefSeq lists it as uncharacterized. Lineage: Eukaryota; Metazoa; Arthropoda; Insecta; Hymenoptera; Formicidae. The record is from RefSeq and is a predicted model, not a curated record. The transcript has 3 exons.
AAAAUAAACGCCGAACGUACAACGUGCGCGAGAGGGAAGAAGGGUGAACCGGGCGGCGAGUUCGAUUCUCUUUCAACCCCACCACCGGCUUUCCCACGGAAUAGCCGCAUGCGCCGUAAAAAAGCACGGCCGCUACGAGUUUCGUUUCACUCUUCGGGGUUCGUCUACCCAUUGCCCGAUAAAAAAGCUCUGCUUGCGCGGCUCUCGUUCGUCACGGACAUACUGUUCGUCCGCGGUUCGCGUCUUCAUCAUCAUCGUUGUCGUUUUCGUCGUUAAAAUGUCAUCGUCGUGGUUAUUAUUGUCGCCGUCGUGCAAAUGCUUCGUCAUUAUCGAUCUUUAUUUCGGGAGAAGAAACGAGACGAAUGAGGAGAUCGAGGAGGAAGAAGAAUGCGGCUCGGUUCCGACGGGGAAACGUAUGUGAGGAAAGAAGUGUGUCCAUACGGGAAUGGACGGACGCGGAUGCGAGAAUGGGAUGAGGGGGUGGGGAGGAUGGUGAGAGAGUGUUAAGAAGAUGAAAAUCCGGCGGAUUCUCCGCAAGCGGCAUCUUUCCGCCCGCCACCUAUGCGUGUGUUCCUCUGCGAUCGUCGUAACCGACGUCCAUGGUGGCUUCCACGUCGGCGAUAAGGGUUGCUUCUCGGUGGAAAACCGUGGGAUGUGGAGGCGCGGUCAUCGAUGGUCGAUUCGCGUGCAUGGUGUACAUGUAAAUAGAAUUUAUAUUUACGGCGCUAUAACCGGAUCGGGCUAAACUACGGUAAGUCGGUGAUUAUUAUUAAACGACGAUAAGCACUUCCAACGCAGAGGUAAGAUUAUUUAAAGAAUAUAAGCAAUAAUUUGUAAGAAAUAUUAAAAUAUUGAAUAUAUAUUAGCCAAUUAUAUUCGACUUGUUACUUAUUUCCUAUUUUAUGGAAAUUGACAUUACGCAAGUAUAUGCAGAAAAAAGUUAAAGUAAAGUAGAACAAAGUAAAAUAUAUCUGAAUUCUUUAUUUAUAAAUAUGUUGUGAUUUUCCAUAAUUACAUUUCUGCAAUUACAAAUUUUAUUUUGCAUCAACGUUAUUAACGAAAUAAGAAAUUGUAGUGUCGAUUUAUGAUUAGAUAUUCUCUUGAAUUCUGCAUAUAGCUUAAGGUUUAUAAAAACAUUUCUAUAUCGAGCUCUGUAAUUAUUAUAUAAAAAUAUUUAAUAUUU